UGCGNAUGGGCGAAGCCUGACGCAGCGACGCCGCGUGGGGGAUGAAGCUUUUCGGAGUGUAAACCCCUUUCGACCGGGACGAAACGCCCGCAAGGGAAUUGACGGUACCGGUAGAAGAAGCCCCGGCUAACUACGUGCCAGCAGCCGCGGUAAGACGUAGGGGGCCAGCGUUGCUCGGAAUAACUGGGCGUAAAGGGUCUGUAGGCGGUGUGGCAAGUCGGGAGUGAAAUCUCUGGGCUUAACUCAGGGGCUGCUUCCGAAACUGCCGUGCUUGAGUGCGGGAGAGGUGAGUGGAAUUGCAGGUGUAGCGGUGAAAUGCGUAGAUAUCUGCAGGAACACCCGUGGCGAAGGCGGCUCACUGGACCGCAACUGACGCUGAGAGACGAAAGCUAGGGGAGCAAACAGGAUUAGAUACCCUGGUAGUCCUAGCCCUAAACGAUCAGAACUUGGGGUGCAUCCCGUUGGGGGUGCGUCCCGUAGCUAACGCGUUAAGUUCUGCGCCUGGGGAGUACGGUCGCAAGACUGAAACUCAAAAAAAUUGACGGA
RNAcentral lists this ribosomal RNA (546 nucleotides) under uncultured bacterium. Its description in RNAcentral is "bacterial SSU rRNA". It matches the Rfam family "Bacterial small subunit ribosomal RNA", at positions 365 to 917 of the family's 1533-position model. The record is from RNAcentral.